GAUUUUUUGUUUUUAUUAGUGUUUUUAUUUGGGAGUGAAAUCUUUAAUUAUGAAGCGUUAGAUAAUUUAGGAGUUUGUUUUAGAGGCUAUUAAGGUUUAGGGUUAGACUAGGAUUAGAUACCCUAUUAUACUAAACGUAGAAUAUUAUAUGCUUGAGUAGUAAUCAGUUAUGUUCUUGAAAUUUAAAGGAUUUGGCGGUAUUCAAGUCUAGUUAGAGGAACCUGUUCUUUAAACGAUAUGCCACGAAUAAUCUUACUUUUUUUUGUUCUCAGUUUGUAUACCGCCAUUAUUAGGUAAUGUUUUAAAAUAUUUACUGUAAUAGUUUCCUUUAGUAUAUUAGGUCAAGGUGCAGCCAAUAGAAAAGUAGUUAUGGGUUACAUUUUAUUUUAUAAUUCGGAUGAGGUGUUGAAUUGUAUCUUUAAAGUCGGAUUUAAUUGUAAUCCUGUUUUAAUAAGUCAGGUUGAUAAUAGCUCUAGAGUAUGUACACAUUGCCCGUCGCUCUCAUAA
RNAcentral lists this ribosomal RNA (507 nucleotides) under Nippontonia minirostris. RNAcentral's name for it is "partial small subunit ribosomal RNA". Lineage: Eukaryota; Metazoa; Arthropoda; Malacostraca; Decapoda; Palaemonidae. The record is from RNAcentral.